UACAGAGGGUGCGAGCGUUGUUCGGAAUCAUUGGGCGUAAAGCGCGUGUAGGCGGCUAGGUAAGUCUGCUCUGAAAGCCCGGGGCUCAACCCCGGGAGGCGGGUGGAUACUGUCUAGCUCGAGUCCGGAAGAGGAGUGUGGAAUUCCUGGUGUAGCGGUGAAAUGCGCAGAUAUCAGGAGGAACACCAAUGGCGAAGGCAGCACUCUGGGACGUGACUGACGCUGAGACGCGAAAGCGUGGGGAGCAAACAGG
Molecule: ribosomal RNA, 253 nt
Filed under: uncultured bacterium
Lineage: Bacteria
Description: partial 16S ribosomal RNA
Rfam family: Bacterial small subunit ribosomal RNA
Source: RNAcentral